UACGUAGGUGGCAAGCGUUGUCCGGAAUUACUGGGUGUAAAGGGAGCGCAGGCGGGUGAUCAAGUCAGCUGUGAAAACUACGGGCUUAACCCGUAGACUGCAGUUGAAACUGUUCAUCUUGAGUGAAGCAGAGGUUGGCGGAAUUCCGAGUGUAGCGGUGAAAUGCGUAGAUAUUCGGAGGAACACCGGUGGCGAAGGCGGCCAACUGGGCUUUAACUGACGCUGAGGCUCGAAAGUGUGGGGAGCAAACAGG
Molecule: ribosomal RNA, 253 nt
Filed under: Eubacterium coprostanoligenes
Lineage: Bacteria; Bacillati; Bacillota; Clostridia; Eubacteriales; Eubacteriaceae
Description: partial 16S ribosomal RNA
Rfam family: Bacterial small subunit ribosomal RNA
Source: RNAcentral